This is a long non-coding RNA of Saccostrea cuccullata (small rock oyster), 568 nucleotides long. RefSeq lists it as uncharacterized. The record is from RefSeq and is a predicted model, not a curated record. Lineage: Eukaryota; Metazoa; Mollusca; Bivalvia; Ostreida; Ostreidae. The transcript is spliced from 2 exons.
CGGCCGCGCGCCUUGUGGAUGUGUAUCAUCUUUCACAUGAUAAACUAUUAUUACUUAGUUCACGUGACUAACUGAGAGAAUACACAAGUUAAACAUACCAGGAGAAAUCAACGGUUAUCAAAAAGUCAACUUAAUUAUAUCUCGUCCUCAGGUAAAUAACUAAAAUGGGUAAGGGUGAAGGAGGCGCCGGAAUUUUAUGGGCCUUUCUGUGGUUUCUGGUUUUAAUAUUUCUCGGAUGGCCGAUCGCGUUCUUCAUCGCUUGGUUGUACGUUCUUCUACUUCCAUUUGGAGCCUGCAUUGCACCAAUCAAAGACGUUAACCAACAAAUACUUCGAGUUGUGCAACUUCCGUUGACAUGCGCAGAGAAUAUGGUUGGAAUGAAACCCAUGUGUUAAACAUAUAUAAUUUUUUAAAUGUACUCUUGCAUACUAUGAAGGCAGCAAAGUACAAACUAUCAUGUUAUUUAUUUUAUAUCAAAUGUUUAUAUUUUUAGUUGUUGUGUCUGCAUGCAUGCCAUUUUACAUUUUUGUAUCCAAACAUUAGAAACAAAAUAAAUGGAAACUUGUUA